GCUGCUAGGAGCUCCUUCUCCUGCAGGCCCCAAGCAAGCAAGGAAGGAGGCAGGCAGGCAGGCAGAGUGGCCCCUUCAGUUCUCUGCAGCAGACCCUCUGCCACCCAGCCCAGCCAGCCCAGCAUUUGCCAGGUAUCUAGAAAGAAGACUUCCUCAUCCAUACAUCAUGCUUUUGCAAAGGGGCCGGAUGUUGUGAUGUUAGAUGGGAUGCUGAAGGCUUCUUCUCUUGGAGUGUAUUGGAAGCUGAUUCAUUGCUGGCACACAAGUCAUAGCUUUAGAUGCAGAAAGUUUUGUUCCAGGCAUAGCGAUGUCAAGUGUGUCUUUAUUUAAAAGUUAAAAUUGAUGUAAAAAUGAUCCAGUGGAAAGUGUUGGACUUGCAUCCUGGAAGUCUGGCUUUCAGUACAGCCUCACACAGGGCCAAAAGCCAGGAAGGAUUUUACACUGUUUGGCAGAAAUAUGAGAAAGAUGACCAUGAAUGUCACUUGAAAACAGGCUCUAGCAGGCAGAGGUGCUUAAAGAUGUGCCCACUCUCGUUCUAAAACAUACGCAGUACACUGAGAGAUAAUCCAUGGGCUAAACUUCUUUACUACCAGAACAUACUCUGCUGUGUGAGGACUUUAAUGUUUCUCCUCACACCCAUCAACAGAUGACAGGUACAGCAAGCAACUGAAGGCAAGAGUGUUGGAGGAGGAAGUUGAGGAAAUGAGGAGCCAUUGAAAAAGAGGGGUGGGUAAAUUCCUCACAUCGGACCUAAGGACGAAGAUACUGUGUUCUGAGACAGGAAAAGAAAUUGAGAAGGCACAGGGAGGGAAAUAAUGGGGACUGAAAUUAAUAAACAUAUGGAAUAACCAGCCAAAUAUCUGACUGUAGAUCUCUAGUGCUUGUAUAUAGUGUUACCCACACUGGGAGCAUACUUUGUGGAUAUAAAACAAAUCCUGUGGAGGUUUCGUCAAAAUUUUGUAUGAAUAAAUGGGUGCUAACAACAAAUGCAGCACACAGGGAAAAUGCAUCAUGGCAACACAUUAACAAUUAGAGCAACAUCUCAUCAAGACUCUUGGCCAGCAUGUGGUUAUCAAUUAAAAAAGCAUCAAGAGGAAAUAAGGGUUGGUUCCAGUGCUGUGUUGGGGAAUGAGCCAUGGAAUUCCCAUUACUGAUAAUAGAAGCUUUGCAAAUAAUUCUCAGAACUGUGUACUUUAAGCUUUGUGCACCCUGGUGGUGGGUUUUUUGUUUGUCUUUUGGCAGAACUGGCAUUAUAUGCCAUAUCUUCCAUUGUAGUAAGAAGCUGUAAGAACGGUUUGCUCUCAGAAUGGGAAUAAGUAUGAAAUGCUUGGGCCAGGGAGUGAGUGAUUGAAUUCUCUCCCCACCCCCUAAAAGUAGUAAAAAUUAAAAUCCUCAGUUUUAAUCAGUUUAAGACUUGCUUAGACCCUAUACUUUUAAAAUAAAUUCAGUGUAACCAUGUUCAGCAAUUCAUACUGUAAUGAAAUAGGAUUCCAGUUUGAUAUUCUUAUUGAAACUCAUGAUGGUUUUUUUUAAUAAGCUCAUUUUCAAAGCAGUGUUAAAAAUACUGAGAAACACUGACAAGCCAAGGUAUUGAUAUUUUGAUUCUGAGAUUGUAAUAUGAGAUAAACUGCUGUAUAAUGUAUUACUUAUAUAUUAUACAUCAAGUACAAUAUAUCUAUAUUUUAAUAAAAGAAGUGACAUGA
Long non-coding RNA from Hemicordylus capensis (graceful crag lizard), 1703 nucleotides. RefSeq lists it as uncharacterized. NCBI's taxonomy places the organism in Eukaryota, Metazoa, Chordata, Lepidosauria, Squamata, Cordylidae. The transcript is spliced from 4 exons. The record is from RefSeq and is a predicted model, not a curated record.